This 253-nucleotide ribosomal RNA is filed under the name uncultured bacterium. RNAcentral's name for it is "partial 16S ribosomal RNA". It matches the Rfam family "Bacterial small subunit ribosomal RNA", at positions 524 to 776 of the family's 1533-position model. The record is from RNAcentral.
UACAGAGGUCUCAAGCGUUGUUCGGAUUCAUUGGGCGUAAAGGGUGCGUAGGUGGUGGGGUAAGUCGGAUGUGAAAUCCCGGGGCUCAACCCCGGAACUGCAUUCGAUACUGCCUUGCUCGAGUACCGGAGAGGAGACUGGAAUUUAUGGUGUAGCAGUGAAAUGCGUAGAUAUCGUAAGGAAGACCAGUGGCGAAGGCGAGUCUCUGGACAGUUACUGACACUGAGGCACGAAGGCCAGGGGAGCAAACGGG